AGUCGAGGGGCAGCAUGGUCUUAGCUUGCUAAGGCCGAUGGCGACCGGCGCACGGGUGAGUAACACGUAUCCAACCUGCCGUCUACUCUUGGACAGCCUUCUGAAAGGAAGAUUAAUACAAGAUGGCAUCAUGAGUCCGCAUGUUCACAUGAUUAAAGGUAUUCCGGUAGACGAUGGGGAUGCGUUCCAUUAGAUAGUAGGCGGGGUAACGGCCCACCUAGUCUUCGAUGGAUAGGGGUUCUGAGAGGAAGGUCCCCCACAUUGGAACUGAGACACGGUCCAAACUCCUACGGGAGGCAGCAGUGAGGAAUAUUGGUCAAUGGGCGAGAGCCUGAACCAGCCAAGUAGCGUGAAGGAUGACUGCCCUAUGGGUUGUAAACUUCUUUUAUAAAGGAAUAAAGUCGGGUAUGGAUACCCGUUUGCAUGUACUUUAUGAAUAAGGAUCGGCUAACUCCGUGCCAGCAGCCGCGGUAAUACGGAGGAUCCGAGCGUUAUCCGGAUUUAUUGGGUUUAAAGGGAGCGUAGAUGGAUGUUUAAGUCAGUUGUGAAAGUUUGCGGCUCAACCGUAAAAUUGCAGUUGAUACUGGAUAUCUUGAGUGCAGUUGAGGCAGGCGGAAUUCGUGGUGUAGCGGUGAAAUGCUUAGAUAUCACGAAGAACUCCGAUUGCGAAGGCAGCCUGCUAAGCUGCAACUGACAUUGAGGCUCGAAAGUGUGGGUAUCAAACAGGAUUAGAUACCCUGGUAGUCCACACGGUAAACGAUGAAUACUCGCUGUUUGCGAUAUACUGCAAGCGGCCAAGCGAAAGCGUUAAGUAUUCCACCUGGGGAGUA
This 830-nucleotide ribosomal RNA is filed under the name Bacteroides sp. HGBC11. RNAcentral's name for it is "bacterial SSU rRNA". It matches the Rfam family "Bacterial small subunit ribosomal RNA", at positions 60 to 882 of the family's 1533-position model. Lineage: Bacteria; Pseudomonadati; Bacteroidota; Bacteroidia; Bacteroidales; Bacteroidaceae. The record is from RNAcentral.